CGACCCCAAGUCAGGCGGGAAUACCCGCUGAGUUUAAGCAUAUCAAUAAGCGGAGGAAAAGAAACUUACUAGGAUUCCCUUAGUAACGGCGAGCGAACCGGGAAUAGCCCAGCUUGAAAAUCGGUUGCCUUUGGCGUCCGAAUUGUAGUCUGAAAAAAAGCGUC
Molecule: ribosomal RNA, 164 nt
Filed under: Daphne altaica
Lineage: Eukaryota; Viridiplantae; Streptophyta; Magnoliopsida; Malvales; Thymelaeaceae
Description: partial 28S ribosomal RNA
Rfam family: Eukaryotic large subunit ribosomal RNA
Source: RNAcentral